CCGGCUGAUCAUUGCAAUUUUUUGAAACGGGCGCCCACGACGGCCACUACCCCGAAAACUCGACGCGCCGGCGCGGUGAAAAUUCCAUUUUUACCCUUCUUUCAGGCACCCUAUAAAUAUCAUUUCACCGCAACUCAUCUUCAAGCUCACAUCUCUUCUCCAGCGCGCGCACCUCCUUCUUUCUUCAAUCUUGCCAUCGAAGUCUUCCAGUUUCAGCUCUAAUCACUUCACCCCCUUCC
This 239-nucleotide long non-coding RNA is filed under the name Setaria italica (foxtail millet). RNAcentral's name for it is "long non-coding RNA (SITA_LNC001245)". The record is from RNAcentral. Lineage: Eukaryota; Viridiplantae; Streptophyta; Magnoliopsida; Poales; Poaceae.